Long non-coding RNA from Perca fluviatilis (European perch), 264 nucleotides. RefSeq lists it as uncharacterized. The transcript is spliced from 4 exons. NCBI's taxonomy places the organism in Eukaryota, Metazoa, Chordata, Actinopteri, Perciformes, Percidae. The record is from RefSeq and is a predicted model, not a curated record.
CUUCACCUUGAUAACAGCUUUACUUCUCUGCAGCCUCAUCGUCAUUGUUCUGGCUGUUAAAAUCAGGAAACUUCAGACAGCUGUGAAUGAAGAACUGCAGCCAGAAAGAAACAAGGAUCUGGGCUCAGAUGAACUGAACUACGCUGCUCUAAAUUUCCAGGCAAAACCCAAAAGAAGCCGCAGGCCUGCAUCAGAGAGAGAGCUGGAGCCACAUGUUGUGUAUGCUGCCACCAGAUAGACUCAGGAAACAUCUGGAACUGCAGC